CGCAGCCGCGGUAAUUCCAGCUCCAAUAGCGUAUAUUAAAGCUGUUGCAGUUAAAAAGCUCGUAGUUGAAUUUCGGGAUCAAUAUGUCGGUCGUGCCUCCGGUACGUACUGGCAUGAUUGAUUUCUCUCUUCUGACGAACCAUGAUGUCAUUAAUUUGGUGUCAUGGGGAGUCAGGACUGUUACUUUGAAAAAUUAGAGUGUUUAAAGCAGGCUCACGCUUGAAUACAUUAGCAUGGAAUAAUGAAAUAGGACGUUUGAUCCUGUUCUGUUGGUUUCUAGGAUCAACGUAAUGAUUAAUAGGGAUAGUUGGGGGCAUUAGUAUUCAAUUGUCAGAGGUGAAAUUCUUGGAUUUAUUGAAGACUAACUACUGCGAAAGCAUUUGCCAAGGAUGUUUUCAUUAAUCAAGAACGAAAGUUAGGGGAUCGAAGACGAUCAGAUACCGUCGUAGU
Molecule: ribosomal RNA, 450 nt
Filed under: uncultured Glomeromycotina
Lineage: Eukaryota; Fungi; Glomeromycota
Description: SSU rRNA
Rfam family: Eukaryotic small subunit ribosomal RNA
Source: RNAcentral